This 490-nucleotide ribosomal RNA is filed under the name uncultured bacterium. RNAcentral describes it as "partial 16S ribosomal RNA". It matches the Rfam family "Bacterial small subunit ribosomal RNA", at positions 29 to 507 of the family's 1533-position model. The record is from RNAcentral.
AGUGAACGCUGGCGGUAGGCCUAACACAUGCAAGUCGAACGGCAGCACAGGAGAGCUUGCUCUCUAGGUGGCGAGUGGCAGACGGGUGAGGAAUACAUCGGAAUCUGCCCAGUCGUGGGGGAUAACGUAGGGAAACUUACGCUAAUACCGCAUACGACCUUCGGGUGAAAGAGGGGGAUCGCAAGACCUCUCGCGAUUGGAUGAGCCGAUGUCGGAUUAGCUAGUUAGCGGGGUAAUGGCCCACCAAGGCGACGAUCCGUAGCUGGUCUGAGAGGAUGAUCAGCCACACUGGAACUGAGACACGGUCCAGACUCCUACGGGAGGCAGCAGUGGGGAAUAUUGGACAAUGGGCGCAAGCCUGAUCCAGCCAUACCGCGUGGGUGAAGAAGGCCUUCGGGUUGUAAAGCCCUUUUGUUGGGAAAGAAAUCUUUCAGGCUAAUACCCUGGGAGGAUGACGGUACCCAAAGAAUAAGCACCGGCUAACUUCGUG